This 397-nucleotide long non-coding RNA is filed under the name Brassica napus (rape). Its description in RNAcentral is "long non-coding RNA (BNAP_LNC005592)". Lineage: Eukaryota; Viridiplantae; Streptophyta; Magnoliopsida; Brassicales; Brassicaceae. The record is from RNAcentral.
AUUGUACUGUACCCAUGUGAUGAAGUAAAAGGAAACAAAACCUAGUAGUAGUAUCUUCAAAAGUUAAAGAAAAACCUGUUGUAACUUGUAUAACUUACAUAAGUCUUUGCAAGAAGAUGUUUGAAAAUCUAAAAAGAACAAAAAAAAGGGUGAGAACUAUUUUUGAAGGGACUGAUGAUCAUUGGAAACAAAAAAAUGUUUUCCAUCUCUUUUUUUUUCUUAAACCUGUUGUAACUUGUAUAACUUACAUAAGUCUUUGCAAGAAGAUGUUUGAAAAUCUAAAAAGAACAAAAAAAAGGGUGAGAACUAUUUUUGAAGGGACUGAUGAUCAUUGGAAACAAAAAAAUGUUUUCCAUCUCUUUUUUUUUCUUCCAUACAUAUAAAAACACAUUUUAUG